AUAUGGACCACACCGCACAAAAAGUCCGCCCCUCCGACUCCUCUUCUCCUCUUAACUGAUGGAAUAAGUAAUAUUCGAGAGCCCUAAGCCCACUCAGACUUUGAAAACACACAUAGAUUUUAAGAUAUCCGUGUUUUGAGUUGUGAACCCCAACGGUUUUAGAAACAAUCGAUACAAACAGUUCUCAAGGGAGCUCUUCAAGGGACGAUUCUCACACCCCAAGGGAGAAGUACAGUUGAAAACAACUUUUUUGGGACGCUUUCUUUUCCGGGUUCUCGGUCAAAAACUGUCCCGGAGCAAAAAUGGAAGCAAAGCACGAGGUACAUUUUUCGAGCUUGUAAUUGCAAGUCGGUGUAAAACUCGUCUUUUUUCGUUUCCUUCUUAUUCAUCCCCUUCGCGUCAUGAGCCAUUGUUUAGUCAAAUAGAAAGCCAACAAAACCUUUUACGAUGAACGAGUCUCCCUUCUAGGGUUGGUAUUGUGUGUGGCUUUUAUUAGAACCGAAUGUUUGGUUAACAACCCUUCCAGGUUGCGCCGUAGCAUCAUCAUCAUGGUUGGUUGACAAGGCUAAUGACUUUAUCGAGACCUCGGAACAAGAUUGAUUGACUACGCUGCGAAACCUUUCCUCUGUUUGUUGACGUUUCACCCCUACUUUCACUCCAAUCUCACAGUACUACGCACGACUCAAAAUUCAAUUUUAAACUCGCUUUGUGUGUAUUGAUCCAUGUCGAUAGAUGGAAGGAGGGUUGGAUAUUAAUUUCGAAAUGGACUGCUCUGCUGGUCCAUAGGAUUCUCAUGGAUGCAAAUUUAUGUCCUCCCCUCAUGACCUCAGGGCUUCAUAUCAUCGCUUUCGAUGAGAUCAGCCACGUCUACGAGAGCAUUCUGAAUGGGACAAUGGGGACACAUAUCAAUAUCCUGGAGAGCUUGCCUUGAUCAGCAGCGCACUGCUUGAAAAAUCCAGACUUGAUGGCAGAUACAGAAUUGAUUGACAAAAGUAAAAUACCGUGUUUUCCGAACAGUGAAAAAUUGUCAUAUGCAUCGGAUAUGUUCUCAUGUCAAAGUAGAUUAUUGAUGAAGUGAAAUGGUCAUGACAUGGCUCUGUACAAAUCCCGGUAUAUUUUCCGUUUUCGAAAAGUAAGAAGUAAGUAAGUCUCUGUGAUAGUUUGGAUUUUUGGUGUUUAUUUUAAGAUUAUGGAGAGAUAGCGAGCCGGAUCCGUUUCCUUGUGUUUAAAAGUCCCAGACUUGGAUGGAGUGAUGUGUUUGAAACAACUUCAAACGGCUUUUGUGGCAGUGGAGGACUCGAUAAUCCAUCAAAGAAUGUCACUCUUCAUUACUCUUUGGGUUCACGGGAAGACGAUGAGCGAAAUUGCUUCGGGUGCUUUAAAUGCGUACAAUCUGGCCGUCAGAGUGGGCUUUCGGAAUACUUGUGCGUUGGCCCAGUGCAAAAACCUGAUGAGUAAGGCCAAUUGUUUUAUGAUACCAUGAGUAGUCCUUUGCA
Molecule: long non-coding RNA, 1496 nt
Organism: Tigriopus californicus
Lineage: Eukaryota; Metazoa; Arthropoda; Copepoda; Harpacticoida; Harpacticidae
Exons: 3
Source: RefSeq, a predicted model, not a curated record